RNAcentral lists this ribosomal RNA (438 nucleotides) under Speovelia maritima. Its description in RNAcentral is "partial 16S ribosomal RNA". Lineage: Eukaryota; Metazoa; Arthropoda; Insecta; Hemiptera; Mesoveliidae. The record is from RNAcentral.
GUUCUAUUGAUUUUUUAUUUUAGAUUUAACCUGCUCUAUGAUUAUUUUAUUAAAUGGCUGCGGUAUUUUAACUGUACUAAGGUAGCAUAAUAAUUUGUCUUUUAAUUGAAGGCUAGAAUGAAUGGUUUGAUGAGAAAUUGACUUUUUUAGGAAAAUAUUUUGAAUUUGAUUUUUUAGUUAAAAAGCUAAAAUUUUUCUAUAGGACGAGAAGACCCUAUAGAAUUUUAUUUAAAUUAAUUAUUUUUGGUUUUUGUUUAUUAUUUUUUAAUUUUUAAUUUAAAUUUUGUUGGGGUGAUAUAGAAAUAUUUUUGACUUUUUAUUUUUAUUUUCAUUAAUUUGUGUUUUUUUGAUCCUGAUUUUUGGAUUAUAAGAUUAAAUUACCUUAGGGAUAACAGCGUUAUUUUUUCGGAGAGUUCAUAUUGAUGAAAAAGUUUGCGA